AUUAGCAAACCAGCAGACUUAUCUCCUAUUGUUCACAUUCUUUUCUUUUGUAGUUCAUAGUGCUUUGCAAAACACUGGCAAUUCUCAGAUACAAACAAGAUGGUAACAGCAGUCCUCUGAAUACUUGGAGCCAUAGAAGUUGAGGGAAGGGGUGACAGACUGGCAGAAGAUGAAAGUGAUGGUCAGAGCUGUUCAGUCAAUUCAUAACAGAAAACCAAAAGGAGGAUGUUGCCACUUCACUGGUGUCUAGAGCAUUUCAUGUCCCCUGACAUGGGCUCAAAGGGAAUCUGGCAGCAGCUGCAUUCAAAAGCCCAAGUGGGAAACAUUUAAUUUCCCAAGAUGUUACUCCCGUGGUAUUAAUGAAGAGGAAUUGCUUCAGAUAUCGCAAGCUGAUGUUUUUGAAUUGUGAAGCUUUGCCUAAGUUGGGGUGAAAUCAAACAAAGAAGGCUGCACAAGUCCUUGAGGAGACCACACACUGACAGUGCUGCCCUGUAACAAGGUGAAAAAAGCAGAGUGGUUCCAGGUCAUGUGAAACAAAGCAAGCAGCAGCCUCUAUUGAUCCCUGGGCCGACCACAUUUCUUUUUGCAGGCUGGAAAAGCCCCAGGUCCCCUUCUUCUGCAUCACUGGCAUUUCCAGUGUUUCUGCUGGUGCUACCAGCAAGGCCACUGGAUAGCAAGGUCUGCAACCCUCUGAUACAGAAACAAACCCUAAUGCUUUCUACAAAGCCACAGAGCAUGAAAUAAAAUAUUUG
This is a non-coding RNA of Taeniopygia guttata (zebra finch), 752 nucleotides long. NCBI's taxonomy places the organism in Eukaryota, Metazoa, Chordata, Aves, Passeriformes, Estrildidae. The record is from RefSeq and is a predicted model, not a curated record.